AUUGAACGCUGGCGGCAUGCCUUACACAUGCAAGUCGAACGGUAACAGGUCUUCGGAUGCUGACGAGUGGCGAACGGGUGAGUAAUACAUCGGAACGUGCCCGAUCGUGGGGGAUAACGAAGCGAAAGCUUUGCUAAUACCGCAUACGAUCUACGGAUGAAAGCAGGGGACCGCAAGGCCUUGCGCGAACGGAGCGGCCGAUGGCAGAUUAGGUAGUUGGUGGGAUAAAAGCUUACCAAGCCGACGAUCUGUAGCUGGUCUGAGAGGACGACCAGCCACACUGGGACUUAGACACGGCCCAGACUCCUACGGGAGGCAGCAGUGGGGAAUUUUGGACAAUGGGCGAAAGCCUGAUCCAGCCAUGCCGCGUGCAGGAUGAAGGCCUUCGGGUUGUAAACUGCUUUUGUACGGAACGAAAAGACUCUGGUUAAUACCUGGGGUCCAUGACGGUACCGUAAGAAUAAGCACCGGCUAACUACGUG
Molecule: ribosomal RNA, 482 nt
Filed under: uncultured bacterium
Lineage: Bacteria
Description: partial 16S ribosomal RNA
Rfam family: Bacterial small subunit ribosomal RNA
Source: RNAcentral